This 463-nucleotide ribosomal RNA is filed under the name uncultured bacterium. Its description in RNAcentral is "partial 16S ribosomal RNA". It matches the Rfam family "Bacterial small subunit ribosomal RNA", at positions 28 to 507 of the family's 1533-position model. The record is from RNAcentral.
GAUGAACGCUGACAGAAUGCUUAACACAUGCAAGUCUUUGGCGAAGCUGUGCUUGCACAGCCUAGCCAAGGCGGACGGGUGAGUAACGCGUAAGGAACUUGCCCUGCAGUCAGGGAUAACAGACGGAAACGACUGAUAAGACCUGGUAAAGUCAGGCGGACUCAUGUCCAGCCUGAUGAAAAGAGAUGCUGCAGGAGAGCCUUGCGUCCUAUUAGCUUGUUGGUGGGGUAACGGCCCACCAAGGCGAUGAUAGGUAGCCGGCCUGAGAGGGUGGACGGCCAAAAGGGGAAUGAGAUACGGCCCUUACUCAUACGGGAGGCAGCAGUGGGGAAUAUUGGACAAUGGGGGCAACCCUGAUCCAGCAAUUCUGUGUGCACGAUGAAGGUUUUCGGAUUGUAAAGUGCUUUCAGAAGGGAAGAAAAAAAUGACGGUACCUGCAGAAGAAGCGACGGCUAAAUACGUG